RNAcentral lists this ribosomal RNA (1014 nucleotides) under uncultured Pezizomycotina. RNAcentral's name for it is "eukaryotic LSU rRNA". The stretch from base 653 to 806 matches the Rfam family "5.8S ribosomal RNA". The record is from RNAcentral. Lineage: Eukaryota; Fungi; Ascomycota.
CUUGGUCAUUUAGAGGAAGUAAAAGUCGUAACAAGGUUUCCGUAGCAUAAGGAACACGAAGUUGAUUCUUCCGUGGUUAAACUUAUAGAAGCCUUAGUAACCCAGAAAUGGGAGGCCACACGACUGUAAAUAAAGUGGCCGUAUACUAGUUAACAUUAUUGUUAGCAACAUAACCAGACUGGAGGGAACUCCUAAAGCACCUGCUAAUUACAGGUGAUGCGGGCUACCCACAACGAUUCUCCGUCACUUUUAACUGGGAACGUUUACAGACUAAGUAGUUAUGGGCAGGACUAUACCGUGUUCUGUUUAAGAUAUAGUCGGGCCUGAUGGUUACCCAUCAGGGUCUCGAUGUGAAUUUCAAGUACAGUUUCCUUUUUAAAACUUGUAGGCCCUGUACUCUAAUUCAACGCGAGAUUAUGGCAACCGUUCCGUAGGUGAACCUGCGGAAGGAUCAUUACAAGAGAAAAGCCAGAGCUGAAAGCCCCGAACUAGGGGCAAGUACUCUCUAGCUUUAUACUCCCAUCCUUUGUAUAUUUUACCUCUGUUGCUUUAGCAGGCCCGUCUUUAGACUGCUGGCUCCGGCUCGUUAGUGCCUGCUAAAGAACCUAAAACUCUUGUUAAUAAUGCCGUCAGAGUACUAUAUAAUAGUUAAAACUUUCAACAACGGAUCUCUUGGUUCUGGCAUCGAUGAAGAACGCAGCGAAAUGCGAUAAGUAAUGUGAAUUGCAGAAUUCAGUGAAUCAUCGAAUCUUUGAACGCACAUUGCGCCCUCUGGUAUUCCGGGGGGCAUGCCUAUUCGAGCGUCAUUACAACCCUCAAGCUAUGCUUGGUAUUUGGUCCUACCUGCUAGGCAGGCCGUAAAAUUAGUGGCGGUGCUAUUUGGCUCCAGGCGCAGUAAAUUACCUCGCCUUGGAUGUCUGAUAUGUGCCUACCAGCAACCACAAUUUUUUAACAGGUUGACCUCGGAUUAGGUAGGGAUACCCGCUGAACUUAAGCAUAUCAAUAAGCGGAGGA